CUUAGUGGCGAACGGGUGAGUAACGCGUGAGUAACCUGCCCUGGAGUGGGGGACAACAGUUGGAAACGACUGCUAAUACCGCAUAAGCCCACGGCCCGGCAUCGGGCUGAGGGAAAAGGAUUUAUUCGCUUCAGGAUGGACUCGCGUCCAAUUAGCUAGUUGGUGAGGUAACGGCCCACCAAGGCGACGAUUGGUAGCCGGACUGAGAGGUUGAACGGCCACAUUGGGACUGAGACACGGCCCAA
This 245-nucleotide ribosomal RNA is filed under the name uncultured bacterium. RNAcentral describes it as "partial 16S ribosomal RNA". It matches the Rfam family "Bacterial small subunit ribosomal RNA", at positions 91 to 334 of the family's 1533-position model. The record is from RNAcentral.